GAUUGCUGCUGCUUUUGUUGUUGAUGAUGAUUCUGGUGGACCGAUAUGGGCAUGCUAGCCACUCCUCGUCCAUCAUCAUCAUCAUCAUUAUCAUUAUCAUCA
Molecule: microRNA precursor, 102 nt
Filed under: Bigelowiella natans CCMP2755
Lineage: Eukaryota; Cercozoa; Chlorarachniophyceae
Description: miRNA EPrBNAG00000013568
Source: RNAcentral